AGAGCAACAAAAGUUUCUCUACAAACUUCUGGGAUUUAAUUAUUCCAUCGAAUAUAAACCCGGGAAGGAGAAUGUGGUUGCGGAUGGUCUAUCGAGAAUGUUUGAAGAGCAAGUGGUGGAACAAAAAGGCUCAAUAUUUGCUAUUUCAAGGCCUAUUAAUGCAUUGCUGGAAAAAAUUAAGUUGGAAUGCAGAAAUUCGAAAUCAAUCGAAGAAGAGAUGAAAGGCAUGGAAUGUAAAGGUAUUCCUAAUUCUGAUUUCUCGAUUAUCAAUGGGUUAUUAUACUUCAGAGGCAAGUUGAUGUUGUUAAAGGAAACAGAACAUAAGAAUGAAAUACUGCAAGAAUUUCAUAAUUCAUAUUAUGGUGGACAUUCAGGAGUGGAAAGAACUCUUAAAAGAAUUCAAUCAGUUUUGUGGUGGAGAGGCAUGACAGCUGAUAUUAAAAAGUUUGUAGUUGAAUGCAGGACUUGUCAACAAAUGAAAGUCCCACAUCAGAAAAGCCAAGGAUUACUUAGUCCCUUACCAAUUCCUAAAGAUGUAUGGGAGGACGUCUCUAUGGAUUUUAUUACCGGCCUACCGAAAGUCAGAAACAAAACAGUGAUUGUGGUAGUAGUUGAUAGAUUAACCAAAUACUGCCAUGUGGGAGCGCUUCCUACUGAGUAUUCAGCAACGGGCGUUGCAGAAUUUUUCGUUAAUUCUAUAAUAAGGCUACAUGGCAUGCCACGAUCCGUUGUAUCAGAUCGUGACAAGGUUUUUACGGGUAAAUUCUGGAAAGAAAUCCACCGGUUAAGUGGCACAACGAUCAAGACCUCUUCUGCCUACCACCCACAAACAGAUGGUCAGACGGAGGUUACAAAUAGAGGGAUAGAACAUUACCUGAGAUCACUCUGCCAUGAUGAUCCAAGGAGAUGGGUACAACUACUGCCGUGGGCAGAACUGUGGUUUAACUCAACUUUCAACACUUCAAUCGGGAUGACACCAUUUCUGGCCUUAUAUGGGAGAGAUCCUCCAACACUGGCAGGGUAUAGCCCGGGGAGCUCAGUAGUUGAUGCAGUCGAUAAGGAGCUAUGUAGAAGGAAAGAAAUAAUUAGUCUUGUGCAAAAAAAUAUGAAAAGAGCUCAGGAUAGAAUGAAGUACUAUGCAGAUAAAGGAAGAAAGGAGAUUACAUUAAAUAUAGGAGAUUGGGUAUGGGUUCGUCUCCAACCGUAUCGUCAAGUGACAGUGGCUCACAGGCUUCACCCCAAACUAUCACCCCGAUAUUUUGGUCCCUACAAAAUCGUCAAAAAAAUCGGAGAAGUAGCAUACAAAUUAGAUUUACCGAUGGGGAGUAAAAUUCAUGAUGUGUUUCAUAUAUCCAGGUUAAAGCAGGUCAAAGGAAAGAUAACGGAAGAAGACGAAAAGAUUUUACCUGAGUUGGUGGUUGGAAACGAGCAUGUACCGAUACCGGUGAAGAUUGUCGGCAAAAGAACAAGGCUAUGUCAAGGAAAAAACGUAAUGGAGGUGCUGGUCCAGUGGGAGGGUACAUCUGUAGAAGAAGCAACAUGGGAGGGUACACGUGAACUUGCGGAGCUCUUUCCGUCAAUGAACCUUGAGGGCAAGGUUCGUCCGUUAGAGGAUGGCAAUGUUACGAUCACACUGGAUACUCAUGCUUGCAAGAGUGACAUGAAGACAGAGAUCCUUAGAAGAGAGAUGGAGGCAGCUCCAAGUAGAGAACGGGAUGAAGAAGUUAUCAUAGAGCCAACGGACAAGGAGGUUGCUGCUGAGAAAAAUCUGGAAGAGAAGGAGCUGCUACAAAAGAUUGGGGCAAGAUCUAAGGUUAGAUCUUCCACUGUGGGAUCUGACACAAUCAAAGCUAUAGCUAAAGAGGAUGUGCAGGCUGGGAAACGUGUGAGGAGGAGGCCUGCCCAUUAUGCUGACUAUGAGAUGGAAUCAUAAGGAUCUUAGUAUUUUAAUUAAUUUCGUUUGGCCCAUGUAGUCAGGCCCAAUUGUCAAGUAGGGUUAAGCCUUUCCUAUAUAAGGCAAACUAUGACCUAAACAAAGACAGCUUAUGAAAAAUGAAAGAGCUCUAGCUCUAUCUACCUUCCUAAAUUUCUCUCCAUUCUUAUUCCAAUCCCUUCUCAAUUCUUCCCCAAAAUUCAUCUCCUAUCA
RNAcentral lists this long non-coding RNA (2146 nucleotides) under Zostera marina. Its description in RNAcentral is "long non-coding RNA (ZMAR_LNC000980)". The record is from RNAcentral. Lineage: Eukaryota; Viridiplantae; Streptophyta; Magnoliopsida; Alismatales; Zosteraceae.